GCAUGAUGGCUUAGUGGUAGAGCAGAGGUCUCGUAACUGGAAGGUCCUGGGUUCAAAACCCAGUCGAUGCA
This 71-nucleotide transfer RNA is filed under the name Strongylocentrotus purpuratus (purple sea urchin). It matches the Rfam family "tRNA". Rfam says of the family: Transfer RNA (tRNA) molecules are approximately 80 nucleotides in length. Their secondary structure includes four short double-helical elements and three loops (D, anti-codon, and T loops). Further hydrogen bonds mediate the characteristic L-shaped molecular structure. tRNAs have two regions of fundamental functional importance: the anti-codon, which is responsible for specific mRNA codon recognition, and the 3' end, to which the tRNAs corresponding amino acid is attached (by aminoacyl-tRNA synthetases). tRNAs cope with the degeneracy of the genetic code in two manners: having more than one tRNA (with a specific anti-codon) for a particular amino acid; and 'wobble' base-pairing, i.e. permitting non-standard base-pairing at the 3rd anti-codon position. The record is from Rfam by way of RNAcentral. Lineage: Eukaryota; Metazoa; Echinodermata; Echinoidea; Camarodonta; Strongylocentrotidae.